Molecule: long non-coding RNA, 4095 nt
Organism: Herpailurus yagouaroundi (jaguarundi)
Lineage: Eukaryota; Metazoa; Chordata; Mammalia; Carnivora; Felidae
Exons: 8
Source: RefSeq, a predicted model, not a curated record
UCUGCCCCUCCCCCACUCGUGCUCUGUUUCUCUCUCUCUCAAAAAUAAAUUAAAAAAAAAAUCAGACUCUGGUGCAGGUAGUUUAUCUGGGAGAUGUAGUGACCAUGCAAAUGCACCACUCAGAUCCGAUGCUGCAGGAAGUACAGUUGCAUCAGAAUACACUUCCUGAUCCACCAUCAUGUGCACGUGAAAGCCACGCUUCCCAUGGGCUGCUCCCAGGAAUGCCUGAGCACAGUCAGGCCACUGAAACCGGCCCACGAGUGUGGUAGAUGCGGGACUCCCCUGACAGAUGGCUUUGGCUGGAGAGCCCCUCCUUGGCCUGGCCAAACUUGUCUUGGAACUGCACCGCUGCCCAUGGCUGCCUGCCUGGUUACCCCCUCCAUCCUUCUCCCCUUCUCUCCCCUUUGCAGAACGAGACCCGCCUUCGCCAGCUCCUCCCCUGUUUGCCUUUACAAAUACUUCUCCCAAUAAACUCCUUGCAUGUCUAAUCUCAUCUGGCACCUGCUUCUCGGGGGCACCGAACUAACACAGGAGGUGACCCCAGGAAGUGAUAGAGUAGGCAGUUAGUUAGAGGUGAGCCGGAGACAAGGGCAGUGAUAAGUAGGUUACACAUUAGAAGCUUGGGGGCACAGCAUCCUGACUUUGUGGCUCUCAACAUCCUGGCCUGAUGGCUUCCAGCACCGCGGGAUUGACAGACCAAGAGCUACAGGUGCAGAACACGCUCUCUUCUCUUCACCUCUGCCCUGCGGUAACCCCUAGACUCUUUAUGAUGCAUCUGCAUUGUGGUUUUACCCUCGCCGCCCGGCCCCCCAAUGGAAGAAGGCUACCACGUCGGUUCUGGUACAAACCUUAAAGGGUCAAAAACUCCCCCUCCUGACCAGGGGGAGGAGUCCCCCAAAUGAUUGGAAGCAGCCUCUAUUAGAGACCACCAUGUCACCAUGGCCAUGACCCAAGACCCCUGCAGCCACAGGACCGUUUCCACCUCUGGGCCUGCCCACCCUCCCGUCCUGAGAGCGUACUGUCCUUAACAAACUGCCGUAUGCUAGCUGCUUUCCUCCCGGCUGUCUUUACGGGAACACAGAUCCCUCCGCAAACCUUUUCUUGGGGAAUCCAAUAACCCAGACCUCCCUACACACAGCGCAGACUCUCCUGCCGGCAAGAGAAGCACAAGGGAGGAAACGGGGGAGGUGGGACUGAGGUGGGAGAAACGGCGAUCCACGAGGCACUGGUGAGCCGGUGACCACUGUAGGGGAGUCACCCUGGGAUGUUCUUAGAGACCGCGUAGGGCGCGCUCCAGACCAUCCCAUCAGAGAGCAUCCCAUCAGAGAGCAGGGGCACCCUAGCGUUAAUCCGCUGCUUUCCGUUUCCUGUUGGCGAAGGUUGUCUGAGUGUAUCAGCUCUCUCUCACUGCAAGCUUGAGAGGAGGGUCCUGGGCGCCAGCGGAAGCCUUCAGGCAGAGAACAAGAGAAGCAGGUGCCUGAGCUGGGAACAGCCUGGCACCGCCGUAGCCGAACUCAGGUGGGCGCGGCGUCCGCAGCUUCUGCUACACUCGGGAUGAACACAGCAGCUUGCAAUCCCCGGUAGGAUAACCAUUCCAGAGAACGCUUCUUUCUCAGGAAUUUCAGGCCCAGCCUUCUGAUUGGCCAGGCUCGUGUCACAUGACCACCCAUGAGCCAAUCACUGUGCCUGCGGAAACGGAGUGUCUCGUCACCUUGGGAGGUACCACCCGGCCACGUCGCUGCCUCGCACGUAACAAGAAUUGCGCCGGCGUGCCUCCCUGCAAGAUGGGGGGGCCUCUAACCCCCCCCCCCACCGCCACCGGCUGACGGCUUGGAAGAUGCAGGAAGAUUCUAGAUGGCAACACUACCCGUGUCCACUGAGGAGACAUCCUGCCCCUACGGAGUGGGUCUCCAGCUUUGCUUCCCCCAGAUGUACACAAUUUGCUACGUGCUGGCAAGGAAAGGUGCGAGCUAACGAAUAUGGAAGCUGAUGGCACAUGAUUUUCCCAGGCACCGAGAGCUUCCGUUUAAAGAGACCAGGCUUGGUGUGCAAGAUACCCGUAUGCCGACUAGUGGGGUGCUGUCCCGGUUGGGGCCGUGGCACGGAGUAGGUGUUGGGCGCACACACUGAGACGGGAAAUAUUUUCGGAGCCAGAGUCCAAAUUUGGAAGGACCACCGGGAGCCUCUGCGGCCGCCAGGGAAGGAUUCAUGAGUCAAAGGAGAAGAAGCCGGUGGACUAGAUGUUAGCUCUUCGUAUUUGAACAAGUCGCUUAAGCUGUCUGAUCUUCAGUUUCCUUCAUCUUGAAAAAUCGGAAAGUGGCAUCUACUUGGUGGGUUUUGAGGACUUGCCCAAGGUCAUACAGCCAAGAAGAUGAGCCAGUACAUCCCCACGGUGUUUUCGAGCUGAGAAUCCAAGCCAGGACCUACCUUGCUCACAAAAAGGACAGAUUUCAAGGUGACGACGCGGACAGGACCCCGGUUUCUAGCUCCGACCCAACUCCCACUGUCUGCUCUCCACUGUGUUACCUCUCACGCCCAUUCCGGCUCAAAGUGGCAGUUUUAUUCUAGUUUGGAGGCCGUGGUGAAGUCCUCACGCCUGCCCAAGGUGACAGAACAAAGCCUCGUGUCGUUUCCUCUGUGCAGUAGCCAAUUAAGGACAGAGAGUGCUUUAGGGUGUAUGCACUCAUUCAUUCACUUGACAAAUAUCUAGUGGUGGCAAGUGGUAGAGAUAAAGAGAGGACUAAGACUCCGAGUGGGGGCAGAGAAAGAUCACAUACAAGGUACAGGGGAUUUCCAGCAUCCUUUCCAAGCUAGUUGCUGCAUCAAGGGAAGAGCACGUGUUGGCAAGCGACGACGUUAGAGAAGUAGCCGGAGGCCACAUCGUGGAGGACUUUGCGGGCCUGAGUUGGGUUCCACAGAAGCAAUCCCUAAGACCGGGAUUCAGAUGCCAGUGAUUCCUUAAGAAGUGCUCCUUAUAGAAGCAGCAAUGGAAAAGGAAGCACAUGAAGAAGGAGGAGGAGGAAGAGGAGGGACAGGAGGCGAGGAGGAGGAGGGAGAGGGAGGAGAAGACUUCCCAAUGGAAAACAGCAUUUGCAAACCAUAUAUCUGAUAAAAGAGGUUCAUAUCCAAAAGAUACUUUUUAAAAGGCUCCUAUAACUCAACAGCAAAACAAACACAAAGCGUCUACUUUUAAAAUAAGCCAAAGAGCUGAAUAGACGUCCGUCGAAGGAAGGUAUAUGAAUGGCCAACGUGUGCUUGAAAAGAUGCUCAACAUCACCCACAUUAGAGAAAUGCAGAUCAGAAGCACAGUGAGCUAUCGCAUGCCGGCUACAAUGGCCAUCGUCACAAAGUCAAGAGAUAACCGAUGCCGGUGAGGAUGUGGAGAAGAGGCAACACCGUGCACCACGGGUGGGAAUGGAAGCUGGUCCAGCCACGACGGGAAACAGGAUGGAGGGUCCUCCGAAGGUUACAAAUGCACCUACCACGUGAACCAGCAAUGCCACUUUUGGGUCUAUAGCCAAAGGAGUUGAAAACGGGAUCUCGAAGAGAUAUUUGCACCCCGUGUUCAUUGCAGCGUGACUUUAUAAUCGAGACAGGAUAGCAACAUGAGUGUCCAUCGACAGAGGAAUGAAUGAAGAAGAUGUGCUCUCUCCUCUUGGAUCAUUUGCUUUGGGAAAAGACAGCUGCCACGUCGUGUGAGCAGCCCUAUAGAGAGGCCCAUCUGGCAAGAAACCGAAGCCUCCUGCCAACAGCCAUGUGAGUGAUCUUGGAAGCAGACCCUCCGUCCCCAUAAGACGACUGCAGCCCCUGCUGACAACCCGCCUGCAGCCAGGGUUCGGCCAUGACUAUAACUGUGUAACACACAGACGUGGAUCGAUUACUGAUACAGCCAACACACUUCCAAGGCUCGGAACUACAAUGAGCUUCUGAAGAUGAGGCAGUAACUUCCAGAGCACGGAAGACAGAAAAGAUCCAGCGUUCGAAGGUGGCGAGGUGCAGAAGCGAUCUGUUUUGAAAGCUUAUCCUGCCAAUUACUGGUCAGUGCGUGUGGCAUCCAUCCAUUCGUCCAAUCUCUCUGCCGUUCAAUGCCUUUAC